AGCAUGAUAAGAAACACUGCUAAGUGUGGAAUGGGCCUGGGUCUUCAGAAGAUACCAAGAACCAGCUGUCUCACUGGAGUGCUGUUAGCUACAUUGGAGGGAACAACAGAGAAUGAUAAAGAAGAUAAUAACUAGAGCCUACUGUCCAGGGAUCAAGAUGGCAGAAGAGGAAGAUCCUAAGCUGACCUCCCAUGGACACACCAAAACUGCAACUACCUAUGGCACAUCUGUCUCUGAAAACGACCUGAAGACUAGCAGAACAGGUCUUUCACAACUAAAGAGAGAGAUCACAAGUAAGCAGAGAGGCAGGCAGAGAGAGA
Molecule: long non-coding RNA, 320 nt
Organism: Neogale vison (American mink)
Lineage: Eukaryota; Metazoa; Chordata; Mammalia; Carnivora; Mustelidae
Exons: 4
Source: RefSeq, a predicted model, not a curated record